Exaiptasia diaphana is the source of this 482-nucleotide long non-coding RNA. RefSeq lists it as uncharacterized. The transcript is spliced from 4 exons. The record is from RefSeq and is a predicted model, not a curated record. Lineage: Eukaryota; Metazoa; Cnidaria; Anthozoa; Actiniaria; Aiptasiidae.
UCACUUCAGGUACCUACCGCUAUCAGCUACUUUGUCUACUGAUGUCUCMAGGAAGAAAGCCAUGUAACCAACCACACUGAAGAUAACAAACCCMGCAAAGAAACUCGUACCACAGUUAAUAAGGGACACGAUGAGUGCAUCUCUGAUGAAAGAUUGUACUGUAUCAGCUGUGGCAAGUACCUUUGACAGUUAUUACGGAAUGGUAAAUAGCUACCAAACCUGAAUGUGGAGAGGGAGUUGAAGAGCGACGUGAGAUCAGAUAACAGAGAAAAAGAUCAUUACAAAGCCUAGACGAUGGAUGUGGAGUGUGAAUUCAAUUAAAUCGGAACUCAGCGAAARAAAUAACGUCUGCUAAACAGCGAUAAGAUUACUGUGUUUACUGCGCAUCUCAAAGGUAUGUUUGUUUAUACUUUUUACUAGAAUCUUUUCCUCUUUAGUGAAGCAAAGUUGAUAUAUGUCAAAACAAUCUACCGGUARCCAUA